UACGGAGGAUGCGAGCGUUAUCCGGAUUUAUUGGGUUUAAAGGGUGCGUAGGCGGCUUUUUAAGUCAGCGGUGAAAUUUUGCAGCUCAACUGUAAAAGUGCCUUCGAAACUGGUUUCCUUGAGUGUAGAUGAAGUAGGCGGAAUUUGUGGUGUAGCGGUGAAAUGCAUAGAUAUCACGAGGAACUCCGAUUGCGCAGGCAGCUUACUAAACUACUACUGACGCUCAGGCACGAAGGCGUGGGGAUCAAACAGGAUUAGAUACCCCGGUAGU
This 271-nucleotide ribosomal RNA is filed under the name uncultured prokaryote. RNAcentral describes it as "partial 16S ribosomal RNA". It matches the Rfam family "Bacterial small subunit ribosomal RNA", at positions 524 to 794 of the family's 1533-position model. The record is from RNAcentral.